UACGAAGGGGGCUAGCGUUGUUCGGAAUCACUGGGCGUAAAGCGCACGUAGGCGGACUUUCAAGUCAGGGGUGAAAUCCCGGGGCUCAACCUCGGAACUGCCUUUGAUACUGUUGGUCUCGAGUCCGGAAGAGGUGGGUGGAAUUCCUAGUGUAGAGGUGAAAUUCGUAGAUAUUAGGAAGAACACCGGUGGCGAAGGCGGCCCACUGGUCCGGUACUGACGCUGAGGUGCGAAAGCGUGGGGAGCAAAC
Molecule: ribosomal RNA, 250 nt
Filed under: uncultured bacterium
Lineage: Bacteria
Description: partial 16S ribosomal RNA
Rfam family: Bacterial small subunit ribosomal RNA
Source: RNAcentral